This 1327-nucleotide long non-coding RNA is filed under the name Nicotiana benthamiana. RNAcentral describes it as "long non-coding RNA (NBEN_LNC036798)". Lineage: Eukaryota; Viridiplantae; Streptophyta; Magnoliopsida; Solanales; Solanaceae. The record is from RNAcentral.
UCCUUUUGGUCCAUCAUAAGUGACCUUUUAGCCUUUGGAACACCCCUUAAGAAAAUAUUUACUCCUAAAAAAAGUGUGAUUUCUGAGCUUCAACUCCAAGCUCGAAGCUCUGAUACCAUAUUGAAGUUUUGUGAUUAAUCACCAGUAGAAACCCUAGUUGCGAGGGAGAAUAGAAAGAAAAAGGAGUUAUCUGAGAAAGAGAAUAAAUGACACAGUAAAAAUUAUAUUCACCACAUACUAUACAUCUCUUACACUUACACAUAUAUACACGUGUGACUAACCACUAUUGUAACAAACUAACCAACUAAGUACUUUAUUAAACUCACUUACUUUCUAACUAAUCAAUCAUAUAUGAAUAGGCUAAACUACUCUCAUAAUAAGGCCAUUCCUUUCUCCUUAACAUGUUUAGAUUUUACGCACCUCUUGGUUGAACAUGUAUGUAGCAAAACUAGUAAAUGAAUUAAGUAGUCACCUAGUCAUUUGGUUGGUUUGCAUAAACAAAUAUAAUAAGAUUAGUAUAAAAUAACGCAUAAGUAAGAUAAUGUGUAAUUAAUUAUUUGAAUUUGAAAAACUAGUGUCUGCAUAACUGAUGGUAGGGGUGUGCAUUCGAUCGAUUCGGUUCGGUUUCAUGAAAUCAGGUUCGAUUAUUCAGUUUUCGGUUUUGUAAAUAUUGAAAUCGAAAUCGAACUGAAAUAAGUUCGAUUUAGUUCAGUUUAUUUUGGGUCGGUUUUCGGUUUGAAAAAAAAGUGACUAGCAACCUCACACUGUGACACUGAUAGGAUACAUUUACCAAAUUUUUGAAGAUGAAAACCCGAUAUUGAUGCGGAUUUAUGGAUUUAGAUAUUCCAGUCUUGUCAUAGUAAAGCAUUUUCCUACCUGGAGACGAAUUAGAUUAAACAAAUUUUUCUUUUUUAUUUUAGGAAGAUCCGCCAACUUUGAUUUGGAAGUAAUUACUGUUUCACUUGCCACAAUUAAUAUUACUAAUAUAUGAAACAAAAAUUGUACAAGAAUUGCCAGUGGUAAGUGAUGACUCGGUGGAAAGAAGAUAGAAAGACAAAUCAAAUUAUCUAAUAUCAUGUUGCAACGCAAAACAAAGAUAAAACCACCUUAUUGUGUCAAAAUAACGAGAUAAUAAAACCACCUCACUGUCUCCAGAACCAUAACUUGCUCCGAAACACUCCCUCCGAUGAUGAAACCAACAGAUGUUACCGCCGCCCGCCGAUAGAGAGAUUGAGAGCGAGAGACGAGAGGGAGAAGAGUGAAGACUGAGAGCGACUGCGACUCUAUGAUAGGGAGAAGUCAGAAGAGUAGUAGACUUAAGGUAUUU